UCUAUAAUGUUGCUGAAAAAGAUAAUAUUGAACAGUUUGCUGGCAAUAUUAAUUCACUAUAUUAUAAGCAUUUCUCUUAUCAUGAUUACUAUUGUUUCCAGGCCACAAAAUAUGACUGAGUGUGUGAGCAUGCAAGUAUCUGCAGCCUGGGAAAGCACUGUGCACUGCUAGGACACAUCGGUCACGCAGGAGGAAUCUCCUACAGCUGGUGGUGGAGCUUGGGGGAACUGCUGAGGAGGUGUCUGUGUCAUCUUGGUGCAAAUGAGCCCAAGGAGCCAGGGAGGAUUUUCCUCCAGAAGAGGUUUUCGGAAAAGAAGAGGCUUGACAGCAGACACUCUGAUCAAAUUUGUCAGUGAAACAUUUCCCACAUAACCCUUAUAUGCUUUUGCGUCUGGGCACACACAAACUCUAAAACUCAGUAGAAGUGGUUGUGCCCUUGAGUGAUUAUUUAUGAAUAUCAUCAUUCCUCCCAAGGAUAUGAGGCAUACUCCGCCCAGGGCAAAUGUCUCCAUGGAGGGCUGCCUUUCAUCUGCAGAAAAUUCGCACCAUAUGUUUUCAAAAGGGAACCCCAUGUCUGCAUGGACACAAUUUUACUCUUCUCUUUGGAAGUCAGUGUUUCAGUGUGUCAUAACAAGGUCUCCAUCAUGAUGAAGGUGAUCAUAAUUAGCAUACACUAAUUUCUCUAGAGACUGAAAUCAGGAUCUAUUGACUGAG
Molecule: long non-coding RNA, 714 nt
Filed under: Struthio camelus australis
Lineage: Eukaryota; Metazoa; Chordata; Aves; Struthioniformes; Struthionidae
Description: lncRNA (ENSSCUG00000011108.1)
Source: RNAcentral